RNAcentral lists this transfer RNA (76 nucleotides) under Kiritimatiellia bacterium. RNAcentral describes it as "Kiritimatiellae bacterium (gut metagenome) tRNA-Lys". It matches the Rfam family "tRNA". From Rfam's summary of the family: Transfer RNA (tRNA) molecules are approximately 80 nucleotides in length. The record is from RNAcentral. Lineage: Bacteria; Pseudomonadati; Kiritimatiellota; Kiritimatiellia.
CGGCUGCUAGCUCAGUUGGUAGAGCACAUGACUUUUAAUCAUGGGGUCGCGGGUCCGAGCCCCGCGCGGCCGACCA